GAUGAACGCUGGCGGUAUGCUUAACACAUGCAAGUCGAACGGACUCUUCGGAGUUAGUGGCGGAAGGGUGAGUAACGCGUGAGAAUCUGGCUUUGGGUUCGGGACAACCACUGGAAACGGUGGCUAAUACCGGAUGUGCCGAGAGGUAAAAGAGAAAUUGCCUGAAGAUGAGCUCGCGUCUGAUUAGCUAGUUGGUGAGGUAAAGGCUCACCAAGGCAGCGAUCAGUAGCUGGUCUGAGAGGAUGACCAGCCACACUGGGACUGAGACACGGCCCAGACUCCUACGGGAGGCAGCAGUGGGGAAUUUUCCGCAAUGGGCGAAAGCCUGACGGAGCAAUACCGCGUGAGGGAAGAAGGCUCUUGGGUUGUAAACCUCUUUUCUUAGGGAAGAACAAAAUGACGGUACCUAAGGAAUCAGCAUCGGCUAACUCCGUG
Molecule: ribosomal RNA, 435 nt
Filed under: uncultured bacterium
Lineage: Bacteria
Description: partial 16S ribosomal RNA
Rfam family: Bacterial small subunit ribosomal RNA
Source: RNAcentral